AUGGAUUGGUGUGUAGAUGUUUUAACAGCAAAAGCCAUAGCACUACGAUUUGGCAUAUUACUUGCACAAAAGGCAGGAAGCAACCGUCUUCUUGUUAACUCCACCAAUAUGGAAGUAAUUGACACAAUGAUGAAUGGAGGACAUUCAGAGAGAGCGGCGGCUGUUGUGUUUGAUGAUUGUUAUUUUAUGGCUCGUGAUUUUCCGUUAAUUAGAUUUGAACAUUGUAAUAGGAAGGCAAAUAAAGUAACCGAUGAAAUUGCUAAAUUAGCUAAAUUUUCUGAGACAAGGGAUUGGUUCGAGGAACCUAUGAAUGAUAUUGUAAAUUUUCUUAUAGAUGAUGCGACCAUUAUUUCUAAUAAAUAA
RNAcentral lists this ribosomal RNA (363 nucleotides) under Triticum aestivum (bread wheat). Its description in RNAcentral is "partial small subunit ribosomal RNA". The record is from RNAcentral. Lineage: Eukaryota; Viridiplantae; Streptophyta; Magnoliopsida; Poales; Poaceae.